GGCACCGCCGCACGCCGGGGAGGCAGCGUCAGGCUGGCGACCAGGGGGCCCGGAGCCAGCCCCAGGCCUGCGGCUGGCCACUCAGGAGCUGCUAACCUUUUCCAAGGAAAGGUCUAGCUGGGUGCCAGCGGCUGAGCCUCCUGGGGGCGCGUUCCCUUGGGUAAGCCCUCUUAGCGGCCCGUGUCACCUGCUGGACACAGCCUGAGACGGGAGGAAGGAGCCUUGGGCGAACUUCCCUUGCAUCAUUUGCUGAACACCCUGCGGCACCCCCGGGAGUCUUACUCUGCCCAUCUGCACAAUAGGCACCCCCUGGCCUCAUCUCACCGGGCCAGUGACAGUCCGACCACAUUGCUGUUCCACGGCACCCAGAUGCACUGAGCUUUUGGAGGUGUUUCCUAUGUAGUUGGGAGCUUGUGCAUCCAUGCAAGAGGGGUACCGAUCUGACGAACAACAGAGCUGACCCAUGGCCGAACCCCAACAGGACAUGAGGGAGAAGCCGGCAGGGGAUCUUAAUCCGACAGGUUCAGCAGAGGAAAGUGCUAUUAUCUGCGGUGGGCAGCAGGCCAAGCUGCGGAGGGUCCUGUGCUCUGUCUGCCUGCGGUGAAUAUAAACAAGGCUCCAAUCCACAGCUGCCAGCUGACCCAGGGGAUGCCAAACCUGAGGACACCUGUGUCGGUGAUCUAGAGCUGGUGCUUAAAGUCAGAAUUCAGAGUCCCAGAGAAAAUGACUUCAUUGAAGUUGAACUGAACAGAGGAGAGCUGAGUUAUCAGAAUCUACUAAAAGUCAGUUGCUGUGAACUGGGGAUUGAACCAGAGCAAGUGAAGACGAUCAGAAAGCUACCAAACACACUGCUCAGAAAGGACAAAGACAUUCUAAGACUACGGGACUUUCAGGAAAUAGAACUCAUCCUAAUGAAAAACAGAAGCUCUGAAUUGGUAGAAUACACACCAUCCCUGACAGAGAAGCCCUGCUCCAACAGCAAUGCUGCGAAACUGACCUAUUAGAAAAUCCCAGAAAUGAAAUACCGGAAUCAUUGUUUUGUAAAUAACCAAGUCGGAAUGCAUGUACCGGUUUGCUAACUUCAUGUGUGUACUUUGGAAAAUUGUUCCCUCAUCUCAAACUUCUCUGGGCAGGGAGAAAUUUCAAAGUGCUUUGACAAAGAGCUAUUUUUUAAAAAUUGUACAGGGGCACCUGGGUGGCCUGGUCAGUGAAGUGUCUGCCUUCGGCUCAGGCAU
This is an RNA transcript of Zalophus californianus (California sea lion), 1235 nucleotides long. It is a transcript of the gene named ANKRD40 C-terminal like, with no coding region annotated. The transcript has 6 exons. The record is from RefSeq and is a predicted model, not a curated record. Lineage: Eukaryota; Metazoa; Chordata; Mammalia; Carnivora; Otariidae.